GCCACAUUUAAUAUAAGUUUCCGGACCAUAAGGUUAGGUUUUGUGUUUUUUAUUAUUUCUAUCCAUUUUUUGAUGACUUUGAUUCAAAGUUCUUAUUUUGAUGUACUAAUUUCAGUGAGAUGGUAGUGGAUGAGACAGCUGGUACAGGGAGGAAUGAUAUGUUAAGCUGCUAAAAAUUGGUUGUGGAGGUUGAUGAGGGUGCACUUGAU
RNAcentral lists this long non-coding RNA (209 nucleotides) under Sorghum bicolor (sorghum). RNAcentral describes it as "long non-coding RNA (SBIC_LNC017941)". The record is from RNAcentral. Lineage: Eukaryota; Viridiplantae; Streptophyta; Magnoliopsida; Poales; Poaceae.